GGAAGUAAAAGUCGUAACAAGGUCUCCGUUGGUGAACCAGCGGAGGGAUCAUUACUGAGUUUACGCUCUAUAACCCUUUGUGAACAUACCUAUAACUGUUGCUUCGGCGGGUAGGGUCUCCGCGACCCUCCCGGCCUCCCGCCUCCGGGCGGGUCGGCGCCCGCCGGAGGAUAACCAAACUCUGAUUUAACGACGUUUCUUCUGAGUGGUACAAGCAAAUAAUCAAAACUUUUAACAACGGAUCUCUUGGUUCUGGCAUCGAUGAAGAACGCAGCGAAAUGCGAUAAGUAAUGUGAAUUGCAGAAUUCAGUGAAUCAUCGAAUCUUUGAACGCACAUUGCGCCCGCCAGCAUUCUGGCGGGCAUGCCUGUUCGAGCGUCAUUUCAACCCUCAAGCUCUGCUUGGUGUUGGGGCCCUACAGCUGAUGUAGGCCCUCAAAGGUAGUGGCGGACCCUCCCGGAGCCUCCUUUGCGUAGUAACUUUACGUCUCGCACUGGGAUCCGGAGGGACUCUUGCCGUAAAACCCGCCAAUUUUCCAAAGGUUGACCUCGGAUCAGGUAGGAAUACCCGCUGAACUUAAGCAUAUCAAUAAGCGGAGGA
This 599-nucleotide ribosomal RNA is filed under the name Colletotrichum gloeosporioides. Its description in RNAcentral is "eukaryotic LSU rRNA". The stretch from base 227 to 380 matches the Rfam family "5.8S ribosomal RNA". The record is from RNAcentral. Lineage: Eukaryota; Fungi; Ascomycota; Sordariomycetes; Glomerellales; Glomerellaceae.